Molecule: ribosomal RNA, 254 nt
Filed under: uncultured bacterium
Lineage: Bacteria
Description: partial 16S ribosomal RNA
Rfam family: Bacterial small subunit ribosomal RNA
Source: RNAcentral
UACGGGGGGGGGCACGCGUUGUUCGGAAUUACUGGGCGUAAGGGGCUCGUAGGUGGCCAACUAAGUCAGACGUGAAAUCCCUCGGCUUAACCGAGGAACUGCGUCUGAUACUGGAUGGCUUGAGUUUGGGAGAGGGAUGCGGAAUUCCAGGUGUAGCGGUGAAAUGCGUAGAUAUCUGGAGGAACACCGGUGGCGAAGGCGGCAUCCUGGACCAACACUGACGCUGAGGAGCGAAAGCCAGGGGAGCAAACGGG